This 1057-nucleotide long non-coding RNA is filed under the name Physcomitrium patens. RNAcentral's name for it is "long non-coding RNA (PPAT_LNC011514)". The record is from RNAcentral. Lineage: Eukaryota; Viridiplantae; Streptophyta; Bryopsida; Funariales; Funariaceae.
UGCUUGCCUAAAAGGUCCUGAAAUAAUCUGUUCAUGUGACACAUGUAAGAGAUUGGAGUAUUAAUAAAGCCAAAAGGUAAAACAAGCCAUUCAAAAUAUCCAUGUUCCGAGCACCUAGUUGUAGAAGGUAGAAUGGAAAUUGCAACAACAAAAUUCUAACUCUAAUAGAAUACUAACUAAACUCUAAUUAGACCAUAACAAUUCUAAAUAAGCUUUAAUCAAAUUCAAAAAAACCUCAAAGGAAUUUCAUAGAAAUAAUAAGAAAUCUUAAAGAAAUAUUAAAAUGAUCACAAAUAUAUCUCAAAUACAUCUCAAUUCAAUCUUAAUUUAAUCCUAGUUAAAAUCAUAUUGAACUUCAUUCAAACUUUAGGCCAAAAAGUAAUUAAAUCUUAAAUCCUCAAUAAACCCUAAUAAAAUCCUAAAUCCUAAACCAAAUCCUAACCAAAUCCUAACCAAAUCCUAAACCAAAUUCUAACCGAACCCUAAUCAAAUCCUAAACCAAAUCCUAAUCCCUAAAUCAAAUCCCAACUAAACCUUAAACCAAAUCUUAAAUCCUAAACCAAAUCCUAAUCAAAUCCUAAAUCAAAUCCUAAUCAAAUCCUAAAUCAAAUCCUAAAUCCUAAAUAAAAUCCUAAUCAAAUUUUAAAUCCUAAACCAAAUCCUAAUCAAAUGCUAAAUCCUAAACCAAACUCUAACCAAAUUCUAAGCAAACCCUAAAUCAAAUCCUAAUUAAAUCUUAAAUAAAAUCCUAACUAAAUCUUAAACCAAAUCCUAACCAAAUCCUAACCAAAUCCUAACCAAAUCCUAAAUCAAAUCCUAAAUCCUAAAUCAAAUCCUAACCAAAUCCUAAUCCUAAAUCAAAUCCUAACUAAAUUCUAAACCCUAAAUUAAAUCUUAACCAAAUCCUAACCCUAAAUCAAAUCCUAAUCAAACUCUAAAUUCUAAACCAAAUCCUAACUAAAUUCUAAAAUCCUAAACCAAACCCUAACCAAACUCUAAAUCCUAAACUAAACCCUAAGCAAACCCUAGUAAUUCCCACAACAAAUUUAAACCUCAA